CCGAGCGGUCCGUCCCGAGGCGUUCCGCGUGUUCAGGAAACAGGUCGGAAUUGUCGGAAAAGGCGCGCGGUCAUGUCGUCGAGGCUCCGCCGAGCAUCAACGUUCUUUAUCAGACAGAUUGGAAAUCAACGACCGUGAAAACUGUGCUACGUGAAAAAAAAGCGGGAAUCUUGUCCAGGAGAUGACGGAGCGCCCGAGGCAGAGGAACAACAACGACGAUGUGUCUUCAAGGCUUGAUAGUCGACGUAUCGAAGAGAAAAGCCGACAAGACCUUCCGCCAUCACUUACAAAAUCAGCAACAGAC
Megalopta genalis is the source of this 304-nucleotide long non-coding RNA. RefSeq lists it as uncharacterized. The record is from RefSeq and is a predicted model, not a curated record. Lineage: Eukaryota; Metazoa; Arthropoda; Insecta; Hymenoptera; Halictidae.